AACGAACGCUGGCGGCAUGCCUAACACAUGCAAGUCGAACGAGAUCUUCGGGUCUAGUGGCGCACGGGUGCGUAACGCGUGGGAAGCUGCCCUUUGGUUCGGAAUAACAGGUGGAAACGACUGCUAAUCCCGGAUGUUGACGAAAGUCCAAAGAUUUAUCGCCAGAGGAUGAGCCCGCGUAGGAUUAGCUAGUUGGUGUGGUAAAGGCGCACGAAGGCGACGAUCCUUAGCUGGUCUGAGAGGAUGAGCAGCCACACUGGGACUGAGACACGGCCCAGACUCCUACGGGAGGCAGCAGUGGGGAAUAUUGGACAAUGGGCGAAAGCCUGAUCCAGCAAUGCCGCGUGAGUGAUGAAGGCCUUAGGGUUGUAAAGCUCUUUUACCCGGGAUGAUAAUGACAGUACCGGGAGAAUAAGCUCCGGCUAACUCCGUGCCAGCAGCCGCAGUAA
Molecule: ribosomal RNA, 449 nt
Filed under: uncultured bacterium
Lineage: Bacteria
Description: partial 16S ribosomal RNA
Rfam family: Bacterial small subunit ribosomal RNA
Source: RNAcentral